Molecule: ribosomal RNA, 736 nt
Filed under: uncultured bacterium
Lineage: Bacteria
Description: bacterial SSU rRNA
Rfam family: Bacterial small subunit ribosomal RNA
Source: RNAcentral
UUUCUCACGAUCCCUUCGGGGUGACGAGUUAUUGACUGAGUGGCGGACGGGUGAGUAACGCGUGGGUAACCUACCUUGUACAGGGGGACAACAGUUGGAAACGACUGCUAAUACCGCAUAAGCGCACAGCAUCGCAUGAUGCAGUGUGAAAAGUUUUUUCGGUACAAGAUGGACCCGCGUCUGAUUAGCUAGUUGGUGAGGUAACGGCCCACCAAGGCGACGAUCAGUAGCCGACCUGAGAGGGUGACCGGCCACAUUGGGACUGAGACACGGCCCAAACUCCUACGGGAGGCAGCAGUGGGGAAUAUUGCACAAUGGGCGCAAGCCUGAUGCAGCGACGCCGCGUGAGCGAAGAAGUAUUUCGGUAUGUAAAGCUCUAUCAGCAGGGAAGAUAAUGACGGUACCUGACUAAGAAGCACCGGCUAAAUACGUGCCAGCAGCCGCGGUAAUACGUAUGGUGCAAGCGUUAUCCGGAUUUACUGGGUGUAAAGGGAGCGUAGGCGGUUUUACAAGUCUGAUGUGAAAGCCCGGGGCUCAACUCCGGUAUUGCAUUGGAAACUGUAGAACUAGAGUGUCGGAGGGGUAAGUGGAAUUCCUAGUGUAGCGGUGAAAUGCGUAGAUAUUAGGAGGAACACCAGUGGCGAAGGCGGCUUACUGGACGAUUACUGACGCUGAGGCUCGAAAGCGUGGGGAGCAAACAGGAUUAGAUACCCUGGUAGUCCACGCCGUAAACGAU